Molecule: non-coding RNA, 87 nt
Filed under: unclassified sequences
Source: RNAcentral
GGCGGUAGACAACCGCCUUCUCUAAUGCAGCUAGUGGAGAAUUUUAUACACUAAAGGUCACAAGCCCUUGUAAAUGCAGAGUGGAGA